UCGGCGGGGCACGUGUGAAGUUUCGCGCGCUCUUUUUUAUAUCUUUGAGAAAGCAGGCGGGAGAGAGCGGAGAGGAGGGUUGGGAAGGUCCAACGACUCCAACGGCUCGCCGGGAUGGACAGUGCGGUGCGGCCGGCAGACUGAAUGCGUGGACCGGUGGGUGGCCGUCGACCAGCGAGGACAGUACUGUCGUGGUGCAGCCCCUGCGACGGUCGCCCGCCAGGUUUCCUUGGGCCGGUCUGUUGCGCUCAGCAGCACGACCAACGAUUGGAGGAAACCACGGUGUGAUAGCAUCCACAACCGGAGGGUACAAAUCCGGGCCGCGGAGAUGAUGUUACGAAGGACCCAAUAUUUGUUCGUGGGUACCUGCAACAUGUAUCUUCCGAUGCAGUAGAAAUGCCUUUCAGUCCAAUUUUGCUAUGAAAAAUCCAGCCAUCAGUGCUUUUGCGGAGAUGUGCUGCGGAAGAAUCCAAAUUCUUGGAGCGAUUUGAAUAUCUCUACAACUUUUGACCUUCCUCCACUGAAUGAUUAUAACAUGCGGAGAGCUAUAUAUGCCGAUCGCCAAUCUGCUGGAACUAGCACCUGUGGCGAUACGCAACCUGACAAUCUUUUUCCAGAGUAGGUGGGACUGAUUUUAAGUUCGGUUCUUGGUUUGAUGAUUUGGAAAAUAUUCGCCAAGAGGAUGAUACAAGGACCCUUGAGGAACUUCUAUGCAUUUCCAACUCUUCUUUCUUGUGCAAAUAAAAAGGCCCUGUUGUCGGAGAUUUUACCUUUGUCAGAAAGAUAGUACACUCGCAUCAAGAGUUCUAAAGUUUAUGCAGAGCACGUGUUUGAAAAAACCCCUUCAUCCGGUGGGUAUUAUACAAGAAUGACUUUCUAAAUGUACAAAGAAACAGCUUUCUAAAUGUACAAAGAAACAGGUGGAUCACACUGGCAAGCAAAUCAUGUGCAAGCUAAAGUUUGCGUCAUUUUGUUGGACCAGGUCAUGUGAUUCUUACUGAUAGUCAAGCGUGCAAAGUAAGAAACCCGAAAGUGGAUGUCGAAGGUAAGCUGGCAUCAAAUCAUCUCGUGCUACAUAUUUUUUGCAAUCCCCGUAGUGUUUAAUGUUGGAUAGUUGGAUCUGCUCUAUCUUGUCGGCGUGUGAGCUUCACUCUGAUGUAUCAACCCUUUUCUUUGGCAAGGCAGAGGCAGCACGACGCAUAAUUUUAAAGAACACUUAAUAGUAAGGCAGAAGCUCCAGCAUUUUGUCGAUGCAUUUCAUCAAUAUGUCAUGGACCGAGUGAGUUGAGAUGGGUUUGACUCAUUUCAUUGUAAGAAACUAUGACUGUCUCAACUUGAACUUGCUUCUUUCUUAGCAGGUGUAUCAUAGAGUGUGGACAGAGCUUUGUGAUGGCAUGGCAUCUGCUACUACAUUGCAUGAAGUCAUGGAAGUUCAUGAGGCAUAUCUUUCUUCUACUCGUAGACAAUGCUUUGUGGCAUAGCAUCGUCCUUUUGGGAGAUUUUCUAAAUCCAUUUGGUAACAAAGGCUCGCAAAUUUGGAAUGGGAUCCAAAAAUGUAAAGCAAGUUUCAAUCUGGGCGUGAAAUUCUCUAUCGGAGACGGUAAGGACACCAAUUUAGGCUCUCCGUGUGGAAUGCGAACAAACCUCUUUGCGCAUUACAUCCGAGCUUGUUUGACAUUGUGGCUCAUCCUGAGGCUAUGGCAUGCAACAUUUUUGCUACAGGGGUAGCUAGUGGGUUUUCUUCGA
Non-coding RNA from Aegilops tauschii subsp. strangulata, 1746 nucleotides. Lineage: Eukaryota; Viridiplantae; Streptophyta; Magnoliopsida; Poales; Poaceae. The record is from RefSeq and is a predicted model, not a curated record.